AACUUAAAAGCUUAUUUCUUGCCUCAGCUAUUUCUAGAAACACAUUUUGUAGAACUGUUUUAAAAGACAAAGUUCGCCAGUGAGUCACCAUGUUGGCCUGACAUUUAAAGCCGACUGGUUUCUGGUGAAGGCUCUCAAGCCCCAAGAACUGAGGGUGAAAUUGAAGCUGAUGUAUGCAGACAGGAGCCCCUAAGAUGGACACAACACCUGCCUGGUAGCUUUGAGCUCAGCACCUCCCCAGCACUAACUGCCUCAGACAGCCCCAGCCAGAGAUGAGGUUGGCACAAACAAGGGGCACUUGGUCCACAUCUGCCAACCGUCCCCAAUACAAAGCCUGACAGUUGGCAUUUCAGUGGUCCUCUAACUACUCCAUUUCUCUGGAUUUGGCUCUGCUCUCCAGGACGAAAGCAGAAGACUGGAAAAGCUUAAUCUUCAUUCAAACUGUGCAUGGAGUCAUUCGCAUGCAGGAUUACAUAUACGCCUCGGGGAGAUAUGAAUUAUUUAUUGUGAGAUGCAAGAUUUGUUGGUCGUUCAGCUCGUUUCAUGCAUGCACUGAUCAUAAAAGACCAAAUGUAUAAACUUUCACUAAUAUUUGGCUGAACAACAAUUCAAGGACAAAGACUGUCUUGUUCAUUGUUUC
Amphiprion ocellaris (clown anemonefish) is the source of this 640-nucleotide long non-coding RNA. The record is from Ensembl. Lineage: Eukaryota; Metazoa; Chordata; Actinopteri; Pomacentridae.